RNAcentral lists this ribosomal RNA (501 nucleotides) under Discosia sp. RNAcentral's name for it is "eukaryotic LSU rRNA". The stretch from base 136 to 289 matches the Rfam family "5.8S ribosomal RNA". The record is from RNAcentral. Lineage: Eukaryota; Fungi; Ascomycota; Sordariomycetes; Amphisphaeriales; Sporocadaceae.
CUACUCCCAACCCAUGUGACUUACCAUUGUUGCCUCGGCAGAGCCUACCCGGUACCUACCCUGUAGCGCUUUGCCGGUGGACUUCUAAACUAUUGUUAUUUAUUGUAAUCUGAGCGUCUUAUUUUAAUAAGUCAAAACUUUCAACAACGGAUCUCUUGGUUCUGGCAUCGAUGAAGAACGCAGCGAAAUGCGAUAAGUAAUGUGAAUUGCAGAAUUCAGUGAAUCAUCGAAUCUUUGAACGCACAUUGCGCCCAUUAGUAUUCUAGUGGGCAUGCCUGUUCGAGCGUCAUUUCAACCCUUAAGCCUAGCUUAGUGUUGGGAGCCUACUUUUGAGUAGCUCCCCAAAUACAACGGCGGAUCUGUGGUAUCCUCUGAGCGUAGUAAUUUUUAUCUCGCUUUUGUUAGGUGCUGCAGCUCCCAGCCGCUAAACCCCCCAAUUUUUAAUGGUUGACCUCGGAUCAGGUAGGAAUACCCGCUGAACUUAAGCAUAUCAUANGNGGG